GGAUAUUAUGGUCUGGCAAAACAAGAAAAGAAUUCAUGCACAGUAUCACACCAAGAGAACAGGACUUAAAACUUAUAUUCUUUAUAUUAUCAUAGUUAUUUUACAUAAAGAAACCACUACACCUACAUCUAUUUAUAUUAACCCAUAACUCUAGGAAUAUGCUACUACAUAUUGUAAUGGCUUCUUCUUUUCAAGUGUCAUAUAGAAAUGAUACUUGUUUUUGUUUUCUAUUUGAAAAGGUGUAACGUUUCAUACAUAUAAAAAGAGAAACUUUUUUUCCUGGCAUGGGUAAACAGUGACAACGGAAGGUAGAUAGUUCCUGAAUUCAUGCAACAUAUGGCCAAGAUACAACAACAACAACAACAACGACAUACCCAGUGUAUUCCCACAAAGUGGGAAUUAAAAAGAAGAAAAAAGCAUAUGAAUAAGUCUAAGAGCUUAUUCUUGGUGGAAUCCCAAGUCAAGUAAUGGUAUAGACUAUUAUGGAAAGCAUCAAUACCCCGUUCUCUCUUUAGCUACGCGAGCCAACUGGGGAAGACAUUAUCUAGGUAUGGAGAACCAAUGAAAGGAAUCUCAACCAUACUAAAUGGUUCAACGGAUAUUAUGGUCUGGCAAAACAAGAAAAGAAUUCAUGCACAGUAUCACACCAAGAGAACAGGACUUAAAACUUAUAUUCUUUAUAUUAUCAUAGUUAUUUUACAUAAAGAAACCACUACACCUACAUCUAUUUAUAUUAACCCAUAACUCUAGGAAUAUGCUACUACAUAUUGUAAUGGCUUCUUCUUUUCAAGUGUCAUAUAGAAAUGAUACUUGUUUUUGUUUUCUAUUUGAAAAGGUGUAACGUUUCAUACAUAUAAAAAGAGAAACUUUUUUUCCUGGCAUGGGUAAACAGUGACAACGGAAGGUAGAUAGUUCCUGAAUUCAUGCAACAUAUGGCCAAGAUACAACAACAACAACAACAACGACAUACCCAGUGUAUUCCCACAAAGUGGGGUCUGGGGAGGGUAAAGUGUACGCAGUCCAUACCACUACCUCCGAUGACGUAGAGAGGCUGUUGUUGAACAUACUGUUUAUUAUUCACAGAGUAAGUAAGUAUCUAUCCAAAAAUAAAAAAAAGUAUGUACCCUGGUUUACAACCUUGAUGUAUCCAAUUAAGUGAAAGAAACAGAAUGGAAAGUUGAAUCUCUAUUUUCAACAAGAGCUAAUUAUACUUUGGCUUAUUGCUGUGUAGAAAAUAUUCCUUUUCCUACUUACAGUAAAUAGCACUAAGGUGAAGCGUGAAGACACAAACAGAGAAGAAAGCACAUAAUCAGUCUCGUUAGCUGACUAUACAUCCUCAAGCACAAUAUCAAGCAUAAGCCUCAUAUCACGAUUAUCCAUGACCUAAUGCUAACAACAAUAACAACAACAUACCCUGUGAAAUCCCACAAGUGAGGUCUGAGGAGGGUUGUGCGUACACAGACCUUAUCCCUACCUUUAGAAGGUCGAGAGGCUGUUUCCGAUAGACCCUCGGCUCAAGUAAAGCAU
Molecule: long non-coding RNA, 1527 nt
Filed under: Capsicum annuum
Lineage: Eukaryota; Viridiplantae; Streptophyta; Magnoliopsida; Solanales; Solanaceae
Description: long non-coding RNA (CANN_LNC018234)
Source: RNAcentral